Molecule: ribosomal RNA, 431 nt
Filed under: uncultured bacterium
Lineage: Bacteria
Description: partial 16S ribosomal RNA
Rfam family: Bacterial small subunit ribosomal RNA
Source: RNAcentral
CGAACGCUGGCGGCAUGCCUAACACAUGCACGUCGAACGCGACCUUCGGGUCUAGUGGCGCCCGGGUGCGUAACGCGUGGGAACCUGCCCUUAGGUUCGGAAUAACUCCCCGAAAGGGGUGCUAAUACCGGAUAAUGUCUUCGGACCAAAGAUUUAUCGCCUUUGGAUGGGCCCGCGUUGGAUUAGCUAGUUGGUAGGGUAAAAGCCUACCAAGGCGACGAUCCAUAGCUGGUCUGAGAGGAUGAUCAGCCACACUGGGACUGAGACACGGCCCAGACUCCUACGGGAGGCAGCAGUGGGGAAUAUUGGACAAUGGGCGAAAGCCUGAUCCAGCAAUGCCGCGUGAGUGAUGAAGGCCUUAGGGUUGUAAAGCUCUUUUACCCGGGAUGAUAAUGACAGUACCGGGAGAAUAAGCUCCGGCUAACUCCGUG